Molecule: regulatory RNA element, 96 nt
Organism: Dysgonomonas mossii DSM 22836
Lineage: Bacteria; Pseudomonadati; Bacteroidota; Bacteroidia; Bacteroidales; Dysgonomonadaceae
Rfam family: TPP riboswitch aptamer (THI element)
About the family: Vitamin B(1) in its active form thiamin pyrophosphate (TPP) is an essential coenzyme that is synthesised by coupling of pyrimidine and thiazole moieties in bacteria. The previously detected thiamin-regulatory element, thi box was extended, resulting in a new, highly conserved RNA secondary structure, the THI element, which is widely distributed in eubacteria and also occurs in some archaea. Analysis of operon structures identified a large number of new candidate thiamin-regulated genes, mostly transporters, in various prokaryotic organisms.
Source: Rfam
ACGAAAUCUUAGGGGUGCCUUAAAAUAACGGGCUGAGAUCACACCCAUAAACCUGAUCCGGGUAAUGCCGGCGGAGGGAUAGAGAAAUAUGCAAUU